Molecule: ribosomal RNA, 499 nt
Filed under: uncultured Glomeromycotina
Lineage: Eukaryota; Fungi; Glomeromycota
Description: partial small subunit ribosomal RNA
Rfam family: Eukaryotic small subunit ribosomal RNA
Source: RNAcentral
CCAAUAGCGUAUAUUAAAGUUGUUGCAGUUAAAAAGCUCGUAGUUGAAUUUCGGGAUCAAGGGAUCGGUCAUGCCUUGGUAUGUACUGGUCUUAUUGGUUCUCACCUUCUAAAGAACCAUGAUGUCAUUUAUUUGAUGUUAUGGGGAAUUAGGACUGUUACCUUGAAAAAAUUAGAGUGUUUAAAGCAAGCUUACGCUUGAAUACAUUAGCAUGGAAUAAUGAAAUAGGACAUCAGAUUCUAUUUUGUUGGUUUCUAGGAUCGAUGUAAUGAUUAAUAGGGAUAGUUGGGGGCAUUAGUAUUCAAUUGUCAGAGGUGAAAUUCUUGGAUUUAUUGAAGACUAACUACUGCGAAAGCAUUUGCCAAGGAUGUUUUCAUUAAUCAAGAACGAAAGUUAGGGGAUCGAAGACGAUCAGAUACCGUCGUAGUCUUAACCAUAAACUAUGCCGACUAGGGAUCGGAUGAUGUUAAUUUUUUAAUGACUCAUUCGGCGCCUUACG